ACAAUCCGCCCACCUUUUAAAGUGAUAUGCUGACUUCCUUAGAAUGACCGGAUGUUGUUUACGACCCAGCAGGUGAAUAGCUCAUAUUUAGUGAGCGCUAACACGCAACAAUGAACAAGGGUCUGGUGUGCAAGUGAUUCAUAAAUGGACUUGUUUUCAUUGAAAAUGGCAUCACUGACAUUUUGGAGCGACGCACACAGCUUUGGAGAUCUGCAGCCUGGCUUAUGAGAGGGUGAGUAAAAAGGGGGAAGAGGUGCCCCCCGCCCCCAUAAAAUCACAUCACUUGUUGGCGCUAUCAGGUUUCUGUCUGGUUCCUGCACAGGAAAAAAUAACAACUCUUGUUUUGGCAUUG
Long non-coding RNA from Nerophis lumbriciformis (worm pipefish), 352 nucleotides. RefSeq lists it as uncharacterized. The record is from RefSeq and is a predicted model, not a curated record. NCBI's taxonomy places the organism in Eukaryota, Metazoa, Chordata, Actinopteri, Syngnathiformes, Syngnathidae.